AACGGGAGUAUAUUGGAAUGAGGAUUCGUCUGAAGGAAAAUGUAUCUUAGUGGCGGACGGGUGAGUAACGCGUGGGCAACCUACCGUAUACAGGGGGAUAACACUUAGAAAUAGGUGCUAAUACCGACAUAAGCGCACAGCAGUGCAUACUGGAGUGUGAAAAGCCGAGACGGUAUACGAUGGGCCCGCGUCUGAUUAGCCAGUUGGCAGGGUAACGGCCUACCAAAGCGACGAUCAGUAGCCGGCCUGAGAGGGCGGACGACCACAUUGGGACUGAGACACGGCCCAGACUCCUACGGGAGGCAGCAGUGGGGGAUAUUGCACAAUGGGGGGAACCCUGAUGCAGCGACGCCGCGUGAGUGAAGAAGUAAUUCGUUAUGUAAAGCUCUAUCAGCAGGGAAGAAUAAAUGACGGUACCUGAGUAAGAAGCCCCGGCUAACUACGUG
Molecule: ribosomal RNA, 446 nt
Filed under: uncultured Lachnospiraceae bacterium
Lineage: Bacteria; Bacillati; Bacillota; Clostridia; Lachnospirales; Lachnospiraceae
Description: bacterial SSU rRNA
Rfam family: Bacterial small subunit ribosomal RNA
Source: RNAcentral